UACGGAGGGUGCAAGCGUUGUUCGGAUUUAUUGGGCGUAAAGGGCGUGUAGGCGGUUCGUUAAGUCUGAUGUGAAAGCCCCGGGCUCAACCCGGGAAGUGCAUUGGAAACUGACGAACUUGAGUACGGGAGAGGGCAGUGGAAUUCCUAGUGUAGGAGUGAAAUCCGUAGAUAUUAGGAGGAACACCGGUGGCGAAGGCGGCUGCCUGGACCGAUACUGACGCUGAGACGCGAAAGCGUGGGGAGCAAACAGG
Molecule: ribosomal RNA, 253 nt
Filed under: uncultured bacterium
Lineage: Bacteria
Description: partial 16S ribosomal RNA
Rfam family: Bacterial small subunit ribosomal RNA
Source: RNAcentral